UUAUUUCUAAUGUAAUUGGUUUCAUACAAUUUGAACAUCGUAGUAAAAAUUUAUGGCCAAUUUAUUUCAGCAUAUCAAACCAGUAACUGAGGGACAGAUGCAACCUUAAUUGUUUCCUUAGUGGCAUUUUGGUCAUCUUCCACCCCUAUAUAUACCUCUUAACAUGGAAUUCAGUAUGCUUUCAUCCAAAAUAUACUCCUUUUUGACAAAUUUCUCAAGAACAACAUACCUUAACCCCAAAACAAAGAUCAAGAUCUCCCAAAAUUUAACCGUAGAAAUUCAAAGAUAAUUUAAGAUUCGGAAUCUCCAUUGUCAGAUCUAUAAAGAGAACCUACCAAUCUUACGAAUAGAGUUCCGGAAUCAAGAGUUCAUCCUGAUUCAUAAACUUGAGGUAUGAAAGUGUUGAUUUUUGGGUUCCUUCCACCCAAGAAGCUUAAGAACCCUUUUUCCUAAAUUCAAAGAUUUUAUUUUUAUGAGUUUUAUGAUUUAUGUGGUAUGAAAUUUGUAUUCUUGAUGUUUUUGAAGUUAAAUUUAUGUUGUGAUGAUAAAGACUCAAGUUUAGACCCUAGUAUGUGUUGAUCUUAAUGUGUUCAUGAUGAAGCCUUUGUAAGAAGCAUGUUGAAUUAUGUAAUUAUGUUAAUUGGUGUGAUGUUGUUAUAUGCUAAUUGACGUUGGAAAUAGUCAUAUUUUCCAUGUGUGUUGAAUCAUGAUCAUAUCAUGUUGGAAUCUUUGUGUGAUGAAUUGUUUUAUGGAGUCAUGACAUUUUGAAAUAGUAGUUGUUGAAUAACUAAAGCACGCUCCCUACAUGUUUGAUAAAAUGCUUAUAUGAAGAAAAUAGUACCAUUGUAGAAUGUUAAGUAUAAAAUGUAUGAUGUUUAUGAUAAAUCCUUCAAGAUUAGUUGAUUUCAUAGAUUUUAUAUUAAAUCUAAGUCAGACAUUAAUUAUGAUGUAAGAUUGAGUUUAAUUCCAUGAUUUACCUCAAGAUUCAUGAAAAUUAAUUAGUUGUGGUACGAUUUAUGUAACUACAAGUUGGAUGAAGAAUCCAUGAGUGGAUAUAAGUGUAUUCAUGAUUAUAUUGUUGAUUGAAUUUAUAACCCAUGACUAAGUGUAUGAUUUAUGUGAAAUUAAAAAUUAUUAUGUAUGUAGUACUAUGUGAACUCAUAUUAGAGCUUUGAGAUGGUGAACUUGGUGUUGGAAUUGUCAUAUUAAGUAUUGAUUAGUAUUAUGAUUAAAUACUAUUUCCAAGUAUACGAUGAAUGGUUGAGUGAAUUAAACAAGAUAAAUUAUAUCAUAUAAACAUGUGUACUAGUUCAUGCCAUUCAAGUGUUUGAUAAAGUGCUCAUGUAAAGAAAAUAGAGUCAUUAUAAUAUGUUGCCAAGAAAUUCCCAAGCUAUGUAUAAGCUAAGCAUGCCAAGUGGUUGUUAAAAAGCUUUAGUGAAUGGAUGGUAAGAUGUUAACAUGAAAUCCUUAAUUAUGUACCUUGAAUGCAUGUUAUGUGUUUAUUGCAAGAUCUUUUGGAAUGAGUUAUGAAGUGUUGGGUUGCAUUUCCUAUAAAAAUACAUGUUAGUAUUUCCAAGUGCUUAAAGUGAUGUUUUACUGAGCAUAUUGUAAUGACGUUGAUGUGAUGUUAGUCAUAUAUUCAAGAGUCGAGUCCUGUCUGUUUCCUUCCAUCGAGUUCUGGGGGUACUUGUACCCAAAAAAAUAUAGUUAUGUGCCUAGAGUUGAGUCAAUCUCAAGAUAAUCUGAGUCAUGCUAUGAUCAGUAGAACUCAGUCAGUGACUGAACAAUAAGAAAACUCAGUAAUCUCAGUAUUCAGUCUAAUCAAGCUCAGUACUCAAUUCAGAUAUCACCAGUAUUUAGUAUCCAGUUAAAAUUUUAGUAAAAAUCAGUAAGAUAUGAUAUUCAGUAGUAUUUCGUAAGAUACAAAACCAAGCGAAAUUAGUUAAAUCAGGAAAGUAAUAUGAUCAGUAACAGAUUCAGCUCAAUCUAAGCUCAGUUAAGAAUCAAUUUAGUGUCUUUCAGUUGGAAGUAGGAAUCAGCACUGAGUGAGCUCAAGGAUGGAAACUCACCUACUAGUAGAGAGUAUGAUUCUUAGAAGCAAUCCUUGUUCUCCAGAACUAUGUAGCCAGCGUAGGUUGAGACAUCAUACCUGCUAGUUGAGGGUAGAUAAGGUGGCUUGACCUGUUAGAUAAAGGCUUCACCAUUCUCAUUUGAGUACCUGAUAAAUGAGGGUUACAUAAAGUUGUCUUUACCAGUGGCGCGGUACUGACACCCUUCUAACUGGGGCAUAGAUUGGACCCCGACUUAGCUAGGCAGGGCAUGUCGGUUAGAUGUCUACUUCCCACAGUCUCAGUUUCAGAAUCAGUCUUAGACUUCAAGAAAGAGCUCAGUACAGUGUAUAGAAUUCAAGGUCGUUAGAUACAGGCCAUCAAGUAUAAUUAUUUGCAAAUUCAAAGAUCCACUGCUAGAUAGGCCGACCUCAAAAUUAGUUAUCAAGUAGUAUUAUUAUCCAUAGAUUCAGAGACUACCUGCUAGAUGGGAUUGAUCUCAGAUUGAGUUAAUCAUUCUUAUUAUUAGUAGAUUUAGAGACAACCUGUUAGAUAGGGUUGCUAUCAAUUUCAGAAGCUUCAGAUACUCGUAAUCUUAGUAUGUUCAAAAAUUUCAGAAUAUCAGUAUAUUCAGUAUCAGUUAUCGGAGUUAGUCCGAGUAUGCUCAGUGACAGUAUGUGCAGUAUGUCCAGUAAUUAUAGAUUAUGCAUACUAAUCCAGCUCUUGCAUAUUAUUCAGUUAAGUUAUGUUCAUGCAUAAGCCCUUGCAUUUAGCCUUACCUCAUUUGCGUACUCAGUAUAUUCCAACGUACUAAUGCAUUUGUGCUAUGGUGUUGUAAUUUUAUUUGACACCAUAGAUUCAGAGACACGAGUUCCAGAUCAGCAGUAGCAAUUCAGUACCCAGUAGUGAGUCCUCAUAUUCUGAGGAUGGAUUAUUAUUUCAGCAUAUUAUUAUAUUUAGUUUAUUUUAUUAGAUGGAGUUAGUUGGGGACAUGUCUCAUCAACUCCAUAGUUUAGACUGUUA
RNAcentral lists this long non-coding RNA (3071 nucleotides) under Capsicum annuum. Its description in RNAcentral is "long non-coding RNA (CANN_LNC019739)". The record is from RNAcentral. Lineage: Eukaryota; Viridiplantae; Streptophyta; Magnoliopsida; Solanales; Solanaceae.